UGUUCUAGAAGCGUCUCCUCCUGAUUGCAGUGCAGUUGAAGUGCAAAAUGUCAUGCAGCAUGAAGGUUCGGCUAAAAGUCAGGUUCCCCUAACUUCUUUUAAGGGUGAAUUAACAUCAGCUGGGGACAGUGUCCAGGCUAUUGGAGAACAUCAGCUUGUUGCAUCAUAAGAGUCUCUAGAGAAACCCAAAAGAGAUGAAGUCAAAAGAAGCAUACACGAUGAAGUAAAAUCAGAUGGGGGCUAUGCUUUGGAUAUCAGAGAAUUUCACCUUGCUGCAUCAGAAGUCUCUCCUUCAGAAAACAACAUGGCUGAAGUGCAAGGGGCUGCACAAGAAGAAUCGUUACCUCUAGAUGGAGUUGAGGAAAAUUCAAACAAGGGUGACUUUGUUUCCACAGAGCAGUCCCAAUUCUAUGUCACAAAUUAAUCCUUG
RNAcentral lists this long non-coding RNA (430 nucleotides) under Zea mays. Its description in RNAcentral is "long non-coding RNA (ZMAY_LNC002887)". The record is from RNAcentral. Lineage: Eukaryota; Viridiplantae; Streptophyta; Magnoliopsida; Poales; Poaceae.